This 126-nucleotide ribosomal RNA is filed under the name Pogona vitticeps (central bearded dragon). The record is from RNAcentral. Lineage: Eukaryota; Metazoa; Chordata; Lepidosauria; Squamata; Agamidae.
UGUUGUAUGCACCCCUCCCUUGUCACCUUGAAUGCAGCAAAUUCAUCUGAUUUGGAAGCUAAGGAAGAUUACGCCUGGUUAGUACUUGGAUGGGAGACCACCAGAGCUCUCCUCCACGUGCAACAA